RNAcentral lists this unclassified non-coding RNA (1753 nucleotides) under Pogonomyrmex barbatus (red harvester ant). RNAcentral describes it as "alkylglycerol monooxygenase-like, transcript variant X2". Lineage: Eukaryota; Metazoa; Arthropoda; Insecta; Hymenoptera; Formicidae. The record is from RNAcentral.
AUAUACAUGUAUAUUUUUGAUAUAUAUUCCAUUUUUUAAAUUAGUAUUUAAACGAAAGCUCUUUUAAGAUAGAUAAGAUUAAUUUAUAACUUAGCUGUAAAUUUUUACAUUAUAGAAUUAUUCAUAAAUUUCUGACUAACAGAUUAUUAAGUUUUAGGUUCUGAAAACUUAUGAUUCGAUUCUGUUAUUAUGAAGUAAUGAUGUCACUGCCACAAUACUUAGAUAACAUAACUGUCACUUAGAUAACAUUUUAUGUUUCGCACGUUUACACAUUAAAGUUCAUGCUAAGAAUUGCAUGAUCAGCUUGAAUAAAUUGGAAUCAAGACUAUUUUCAUUUUUAAGAUAUUUUCCUCACAAUUGGCUAAGUCUUACUGAAAAUUUAAGAAUGUGAUUAUUUGUUACUUAUGAUGUGUUAAAUAUAUUCAGUUAUUUAAAACUAUUUUUAAAAUUUUGUUUAAUAAUUGAACAAUCUUUACACUUUAAAUCUUAAGUUAAGUUUCAAUUGUUCGAAUUUUUACUUUUGAGUAUCAAGAAUUAAUCAAUCACUUCGAAUUUUUACUUUUUUUAUAAAAUAAUUCCAGGCAGAAUCGUGUCUGGAAUGAUUUAAGCGUACAAACAAACAUUCUGUAAAAUCUCUUAUCACUAACUGCCACGUGGAGGGGGAAUACGUUGAUUGUGCAAUUGUUGCAUGAUUAUUCCAUAUAUUUGAUCGCAAAUCUCUCAUAUGUCUGCGUGUCGUAGAUUUGGUAAAAUACGUGUUCUGCAACAUUUGAUUUAGAUAUGUAUACACGAAGACGAUUUCUUAGUGCGACUGUGCAUUUUCAUUUGAAGGUUUCUUUACUCUAGCUAUCAUUAUUGGUAACGAUGUCUUUAAUUACAUACAUAUAUGUCAAUAUUCUGUCAGUGUGAGCAGUGCAGCAAUUGAUGUGCUAAUUCAAACAAAUUAAUAUGUUGCCUAAUUGAUACAUUAAAUGUUUGUUUAAGAAAAUGCGUAUUUUUUACAUCAAUGAACUGAAAUACUGGAUUGAAUAAUAAGUUUGAACGUGCAGCCUGUAAUCUUUUUACUAAUGUGUAUCGAUAAACGAUUUUAAAUUUGCAAAUUUGUGUACAUCUACCGCCUUCUUAAGAUAUACGAUCUGUGUGUCACGUGCCUAUGCAGCUCGAACUUAUAUAAACACAUGCGCACGCACGCGCGCGAUUAAUCCGAUAUUGUAUAUCGUCUACGACGUUUGCCGCUACACCUGGAAUGCUGCUAAAUUUACAAGAUAUUUUGGAGAUUUGGUGAUUUGCGCAUAUUUUCCAGUGUGCAAAAUGAACAUAAUAUUAAAUUCACUUGUUGAAGUUGUUGAUUAUUUUUUAAAACACUUUGGAAAACUUUGGUACCUUGUCGGUCCAAAGGAGACAACCUUCGAGUUUCUACACGAGGUACCGGACUAUCAACAACAGAUAUGGAUGCCGUUUUUUCUACUAUUAAUUCUGGAACAAUUAAUAUUAAGAAAAAAAGGAUUUCGUUUAAAUGAUCAAGUAACAUCGUUAUCUCACUGGAUACUCCACGAAACUAUCCGGUAAGAGUAAGUUACAGUCUGUCCUUUAUUCUAUAUUUAAAAAAAGAUACAUUGUGAAUAUUGUCCAUAAAAUAAGAUCAAUUUUGUUUUGAGUGAGAUAUAUAAAUAUGAUGAAUUCAAUCGUGCCGCUUUAAUCCGGCCUUUUGGCAGGGUAACAUCUUAAACUCUAUUAAAUUUUUUCAAAAGCA